Sarcophilus harrisii (Tasmanian devil) is the source of this 864-nucleotide long non-coding RNA. RefSeq lists it as uncharacterized. The record is from RefSeq and is a predicted model, not a curated record. The transcript has 4 exons. Lineage: Eukaryota; Metazoa; Chordata; Mammalia; Dasyuromorphia; Dasyuridae.
UUAUCUGAUCUCCCAUUUUACAGAUGAAGAAACUGAGACCCAGGAAAGAGAAGGCUUUGGCCAAGGUAACUGAGGGAGCAAGGGGAGCUGUCAGGAUUUGAAUUCAGGCUCUCUGACUCUCCAAAUCCAGUGCUCCAUUAAACCACAUGGCAUUUAAGAUCUUUUUUCCCCUUUCUUUUCUUUCUAGAGGCAAUGGGGAAUUGCUGAAGGUUUCUUUCUUUCUUUCUUCUUUUAAGGAGGUAACAUGAUUGAUGAUUCUUUUAGGAAGAUGAAUGCAGUGUGGUGUGAAGAAUUGAUUGCAGCGGAGAGACGUGACUAAGGGAGUGAGACCAGUUCAGCAUUCUUCCUCCAAGUGAUCAGUUUAUCUGUGAGGAGAAAUCCCUUAUUUCCCAGGGCAGAUCAUUGUGGCCAGCUUUAAUUGUGAGACCAGGUGGACUAACUGCAGGACAACUUCUCUUCAGUAAAAUGACUCUGCUUACUCUCAUCUCUGAGGCACACAUUGUUCGGUCCUGAAUGAGCUCCGCACACCCAAUUAUCAACUGGACUAGGGAGAGAGCAGGUGGAAGUGUAACUGUCAUAAGGCAGGACAAUUAAAAAGCACUGAAACGGCUAGCACAAUGAAGACUAAGCGGCUUCGACAAGAAAGGUUUGAGUAAAAAGAAACACCUGUAUGUUUUACUCAAUAAGCACAAGCUAUCAUUUUUCAAGUGGCCUUUGAAAUUUCAUGUUUGCUAAAACUGCCCUCCUUUCUCAAAGUAAGCUACAUCACUAUGUAUCCUUAACAAGAUUAAAAAAAAAAAAAAAGUGAACAUUACUUCAGGGUUUUGGUUCUGUUUUGUUUCCAAAAACAGAAAAAAGCUCAUA